UAUAGUGUCAGGAAUACAAAUUUAUUCCUGACACUAGUUGUAAAAACACAGUUUAGCUCCCCUUGUCUGUCUUUAAAAGGUAUUAAACUUACCUUUCUUCCAGGGUCAAGCUGAAUUAAUGCAUCUCUAUGGGAAGAGUUCACCGUUUCCAUGCAGAGAGUGGAGGUGCUGAAUGUCCAUGCUGUACACUGUGCAGCACUGACCCAGGAAGCACCUCUAGUGGCCAUCUUAUUGACUGCUACGAGAGGUGUUACUGCAUGGGCAGCA
This is a non-coding RNA of Pelobates cultripes (western spadefoot toad), 267 nucleotides long. NCBI's taxonomy places the organism in Eukaryota, Metazoa, Chordata, Amphibia, Anura, Pelobatidae. The record is from the annotation of a GenBank genome assembly.